This 672-nucleotide ribosomal RNA is filed under the name uncultured organism. RNAcentral describes it as "bacterial SSU rRNA". It matches the Rfam family "Bacterial small subunit ribosomal RNA", at positions 1 to 663 of the family's 1533-position model. The record is from RNAcentral.
GGCUUAGAGUUUGAUCAUGGCUCAGGAUGAACGCUAGCUACAGGCUUAACACAUGCAAGUCGAGGGGCAGCAUUUUAGUUUGCUUGCAAACUAAAGAUGGCGACCGGCGCACGGGUGAGUAACACGUAUCCAACCUGCCGAUAACUCGGGGAUAGCCUUUCGAAAGAAAGAUUAAUAUCCGAUAGUAUAUUAAAACCGCAUGGUUUUACUAUUAAAGAAUUUCGGUUAUCGAUGGGGAUGCGUUCCAUUAGUUUGUUGGCGGGGUAACGGCCCACCAAGACUACGAUGGAUAGGGGUUCUGAGAGGAAGGUCCCCCACAUUGGAACUGAGACACGGUCCAAACUCCUACGGGAGGCAGCAGUGAGGAAUAUUGGUCAAUGGACGAGAGUCUGAACCAGCCAAGUAGCGUGAAGGAUGACUGCCCUAUGGGUUGUAAACUUCUUUUAUAUGGGAAUAAAGUAUUCCACGUGUGGGAUUUUGUAUGUACCAUAUGAAUAAGGAUCGGCUAACUCCGUGCCGGCAGCCGCGGUAAUACGGAGGAUCCGAGCGUUAUCCGGAUUUAUUGGGUUUAAAGGGAGCGUAGGUGGAUUGUUAAGUCAGUUGUGAAAGUUUGCGGCUCAACCGUAAAAUUGCAGUUGAAACUGGCAGUCUUGAGUACAGUAGAGGUGGGCG